Molecule: long non-coding RNA, 1095 nt
Organism: Apis florea (little honeybee)
Lineage: Eukaryota; Metazoa; Arthropoda; Insecta; Hymenoptera; Apidae
Source: RefSeq, a predicted model, not a curated record
GUUCAUUAAUUUCUCGAAAUUGACUCGUUUCAGAAGCCAGGAGCAAGAUUUCUCAAGAGCGAAGGCCAGCUUCCCUAGAAGGCUGAGUGUGAAACAACCACGUGUGCUCUUACCUCCUAAAUUCCGAUCUUUCGUUAUGGUAUCCUUGAAACGGCAAAAGUAUCCUUGAACGGUUCACCAAUGCACUGGAAAGUGGGAUAGAAGGGAGAGGACUGUCUCCGAGGAAAUGUUAUCGAUACUUAUUGAGAAGGCGUAACACACACUGGAAGAUCGUGGUACCACGGAUCGUGGUUGGAAAAGAGUCGGUUGAUCGAGUUGAAGACGCGCGCGAAGAUGGAUCCACGAUCGAACGGGCGUAAGAUACGAUCUAUCGUAGCCUGAGGCCGAGUUAGGACUGUGGACUCUGACAGACCACGGGCGAGAGAACGUAGCCAGCGAGCAGGGCUGCCAACUCUGGCCUCGCUCUCUCGCGGACCCCACCACGCGAUGCACGCUCUUGGUAGCGAUAGGUGUAGCGCGAUCUGUCUCGAAGGGAACCGGUGAAAUCGUACCGGGGGAACCGCCGAUCUCUUAUGAGGGCGCUUGGAAGAACUUCUCCGUUCGAGGGAAGACAAAUCAAAAGGAAAUCUAAUAUCGUCGAAAUUGCACUAGUUGUCCAUGGCGGUUGUUAUAGAUAUGCCUUGCGUAACAGUUUAUUGUAGACGUCGAAAACAUAAAGACAAAAGCUAACCUCAUUGCGAAUCGUAUUACGAAUAAUGUAAAGUUACGAACAAUAUGAUUACAUCAUUCAUGACGUACAGUUGAUUUGAAUAAUUGGCACCGAAUCUUUAAAUUGGAAAUAUGCAGUUCGAUAAAAUGGUCCACGCAAAGAUAUUACGUUACGCCCACGCAGUAAACGGCGUUAACACGAGAAUGUUAAGAGUUAAUGGACCAACUUCCCGGACACGACGAGUUUCAACGGCCGUAGCGAAUCCUCUGGCAAUGACAUUGACAAAACUGCCAUUUCUCGCCGAUCAAAGAGAUAUAUCUAUUUUUAUUCAAGUAAUCACAUUAUUGUAAAAUGUUUAAUCUCAAAGAUAUUAAACAAUUUUUACA